UACGUAGGCAGCGAGCGUUGUUCGGAGUUACUGGGCGUAAAGGGUGUGUAGGCGGUUGUUUAAGUUUGGUGUGAAAUCUCCCGGCUCAACUGGGAGGGUGCGCCGAAUACUGAGCGACUAGAGUGCGGGAGAGGAAAGUGGAAUUCCUGGUGUAGCGGUGAAAUGCGUAGAUAUCAGGAGGAACACCAGUGGCGAAGGCGCCGCUCUGGGCCGAGACUGACGCUGAGGAGCGAAAGCGUGGGUAGCAAACAGG
Molecule: ribosomal RNA, 253 nt
Filed under: uncultured bacterium
Lineage: Bacteria
Description: partial 16S ribosomal RNA
Rfam family: Bacterial small subunit ribosomal RNA
Source: RNAcentral